Molecule: ribosomal RNA, 333 nt
Filed under: uncultured eukaryote
Lineage: Eukaryota
Description: partial 18S ribosomal RNA
Rfam family: Eukaryotic small subunit ribosomal RNA
Source: RNAcentral
CCCUUAGAUGUCCUGGGCCGCACGCGCGCUACACUGAGUGUCUGAGAUACGAGUCUGCCUGGUCCGGCAAGGUCUAGGUAAUCGCUAAAAGACACAUCAUGCUUGGGAUAGAUUAUUGCAAAUAUUAAUCUUGAACGAGGAAUUCCUAGUAAGCGCAAGUCAACAGCUUGCGUUGAUUACGUCCCUGCCCUUUGUACACACCGCCCGUCGCUCCUACCGAUUGAAUGUUCCGGUGAACACUUUGGAAUAGUUCUUAUGUGAGGGGAAACUCUUUGCUUGGAUACUGUGAAGUUGUGUAAACCUUAACAUUUAGAGGAAGGAGAAGUCGUAACA